Long non-coding RNA from Homo sapiens (human), 564 nucleotides. RefSeq lists it as uncharacterized. The transcript has 2 exons. Lineage: Eukaryota; Metazoa; Chordata; Mammalia; Primates; Hominidae. The record is from RefSeq and is a predicted model, not a curated record.
CCACCUGCACCUUAUGUGGCAGCAACUCUGGUCAGGGAGCACUCAAGAGGCUGUGGAAAGAUGCAAGAGAAAUAGGACAUGUCCAGUGAAUCAUCCUGGCACACAUAUGAAUGGUUUUUUAACUGUGAAUCUGCUUAUUUCCACACAAAUAGCAUAGGAACUGAGGGAAUCAAAUGAGAGCCACUGUCGCUCUGACAAAAAGAAAGAGAAAGGAAGAGAGACAGAGGAAGUAAGCGUUUGUUUCAUAUUUACUUCUUGAAUAUUCCCUAGUGCAAAGCACAUGUAUGUGAUCCUGCUCUAUGCUCAUGAAAUCCAUGCAUCAUCUCUUAUAUUAAUUUUACAGAUGUGGAAACUCAAAUAAAGAGAGGUGAAAGAGUCCCCAGGACAACACAAAAAGGUGACAGAGCCACUGAAUUUAAAUCCAUACCCUCUAAUUCAAGGAAAUGAAAGAAGAGUUUUGAAGAGACAGCUGCCCUCCAUGCUCACGGCAGCAUCAUUCAAAACAGCUAAGAUGAAGAAACAACUAAAAAAGUCUGUUGAGAAAUGAAUAAAGAAAUACAAUAA